Molecule: unclassified non-coding RNA, 387 nt
Filed under: soil metagenome
Description: partial contains 5.8S ribosomal RNA, internal transcribed spacer 2, and large subunit ribosomal RNA
Rfam family: 5.8S ribosomal RNA (bases 1-120)
Source: RNAcentral
GAUGAAGAACGUAGCGAAAUGCGAUAAGUAAUGUGAAUUGCAGAAUUCAGUGAAUCAUCGAAUCUUUGAACGCACCUUGCACCCUUUGGCAUUCCGAAGGGUAUGCUCGUUUGAGUGUCAUUGUACUCUCACACUCUCCGAUCCUAUGGAUUCGGGGAGCGGUGGACUUGGGUGUUGCUGCCUUUCCUUGUGGCUCACCUCAAAUGUGUCAGUGCACCUCUUGGUUGGACAUAGUACGGCGUGAUAAGUGUCUUCGCCGGCACCUCGCAAGAGGGUGGCCGAUCGGUAGCUCUGUGCUUUCAAACCGUCUUCGGACAAUUUCUGACAACUUGACCUCAAAUCGAGUAGGACUACCCGCUGAACUUAAGCAUAUCAAUAAGCGGAGGA